Molecule: ribosomal RNA, 253 nt
Filed under: uncultured bacterium
Lineage: Bacteria
Description: partial 16S ribosomal RNA
Rfam family: Bacterial small subunit ribosomal RNA
Source: RNAcentral
GACGAACCGAGCGAACGUUGUUCGGAAUCACUGGGCUUAAAGGGCGCGUAGGCGGGUGCUCAAGUCCGUGGUGAAAUCCUCCGGCUCAACCGGAGAACUACCUCGGAUACUGGGCGUCUCGAGUGUGGUAGGGGUAUGCGGAACUAUCGGUGGAGCGGUGAAAUGCGUUGAUAUCGAUAGGAACUCCGGUGGCGAAGGCGGCAUACUGGACCACCACUGACGCUGAUGCGCGAAAGCCAGGGGAGCAAACGGG